CUCUGGGGGGAUUUAAAGAGGAAGGGGGACGAUUCCUUCAGAGAGUCAGAUUCCUCCAGAAAUCUCACCAUGACCCCAACUCUUUUGAUCCUUGCUCUUUUCACUUAUUGCUCAGGUGUUACCACUCAGACAACUUUGACACAACCUGCCUCUGAGUCUGUGUCCCCGGGAGAAACGGCUAAACUCUCCUGCACUGCCAGUGAUACAUCAUACAACAUUGGCUGGUAUCAACAGAGACCUGGAGAAGGUCCUCGCUAUGUGCAUUACCCUGGGUACAGCAGGGGAGAAGGGAUCCCGGAUCGGUUCACUGCUUCCCAGUCAGGGAGCAUUGGCUAUUUAACCAUCGCUAAUGUCCAGGAUGGAGACGAGGCAGAUUAUUUCUGUGGUAGGUGGCAGAAAGGAGGUACCACGUUGCACAGUGCUAAAACCAGUUGCAGCAGCAGGGGAGAAGGGAUCCCAGAUCGGUUCACUGCUUCCCGCUCAGGUAGCAUUGGCUAUUUAACCAUCACCAAAGCAGAGGCUGAAGACGAGGCCGAUUAUUACUGUGGCAGGUGGAAUACAGCUGGUAAUGUGUUCCAUGGUGCUGGUGUCAUGUCAACCCUGCAAUGCACCGAACUGGAAGAGACAGGAAACCCUUUGCAGAAGAAGGUUCCUCCUCCCAGCCAGUGCUGA
Molecule: non-coding RNA, 672 nt
Organism: Podarcis raffonei (Aeolian wall lizard)
Lineage: Eukaryota; Metazoa; Chordata; Lepidosauria; Squamata; Lacertidae
Source: the annotation of a RefSeq genome assembly